RNAcentral lists this ribosomal RNA (584 nucleotides) under uncultured bacterium. RNAcentral describes it as "bacterial SSU rRNA". It matches the Rfam family "Bacterial small subunit ribosomal RNA", at positions 338 to 942 of the family's 1533-position model. The record is from RNAcentral.
CCUACGGGAGGCAGCAGUGGGGAAUCUUGCGCAAUGGGCGAAAGCCUGACGCAGCAACGCCGCGUGCGGGAUGAAGGCCUUCGGGCUGUAAACCGCUUUCAGCAGGAACGAAAAUGACGGUACCUGCAGAAGAAGGAGCGGCCAACUACGUGCCAGCAGCCGCGGUGACACGUAGGCUCCAAGCGUUGUCCGGAUUUAUUGGGCGUAAAGAGCUCGUAGGCGGUCUAAUAAGUCGGGUGUGAAAACUCUGGGCUCAACCCGGAGACGCCAUCCGAUACUGUUAUGACUUGAGUUCAGGAGGGGAGCGGGGAAUUCCUAGUGUAGCGGUGAAAUGCGCAGAUAUUAGGAGGAACACCGGUGGCGAAGGCGCCGCUCUGGACUGAAACUGACGCUGAGGAGCGAAAGCAUGGGUAGCAAACAGGAUUAGAUACCCUGGUAGUCCAUGCCGUAAACGGUGGGCACUAGGUGUGGGUUUCACUACGAAUCCGNGCCGUCGCUAACGCAUUAAGUGCCCGCCUGGGAGUACGGUCGCAGACUAAACUCAAAGGAUUGAGGCUUGNGAGNGCGAGCGCGACGAGGGAGAG